Molecule: ribosomal RNA, 407 nt
Filed under: uncultured bacterium
Lineage: Bacteria
Description: partial 16S ribosomal RNA
Rfam family: Bacterial small subunit ribosomal RNA
Source: RNAcentral
GACGAACGCUGGCGGCGUGCCUAAUACAUGCAAGUAGGACGCAGUUGCGAACGGGUGAGUAACGCGUAGGUAACUACCUAUUAGAGGGGGAGAACUAUUGGAAACGAUAGCUAAUACCGCAUACUAGUAGAUGGACCUGCGUUGUAUUAGCUAGUAGGUAGGGUAAAGGCCUACCUAGGCAACGAUACCUACCCGACCGUGUAGGGGGAUCGGCAACACAGGGACGGGUACACGGCCCAGACUCCUACGGGAGGCAGCAGUAGGGAAUCUUCGGCAAUGGGGGGAAACCUGACCGAGCAACGCCGCGUGAGUUAAGAAGGUUUUCGGAUCGUAAAGCUCUGUUGUUAAGGAAGCGGUACUUAACCAGAAAGGGACGGCUAACUACGUGCCAGCAGCCGCGGUAAUUC